Long non-coding RNA from Daktulosphaira vitifoliae (grape phylloxera), 401 nucleotides. RefSeq lists it as uncharacterized. Lineage: Eukaryota; Metazoa; Arthropoda; Insecta; Hemiptera; Phylloxeridae. The transcript has 3 exons. The record is from RefSeq and is a predicted model, not a curated record.
CUGUUUCGAUAUUUAACGUAAAAUGCCGAAAGAUAAAACAUCGAACUAUUCGAGACUUUUUUGUCCGAGUUUGGCGAUCAGGUUUUUUCGAUUGAUGCAAGUAUUCUGUUUUGCAAAUUGUGCGAAUGUAAAGUUAAUAGUGACAAAAAGUUUAACGUUACUCAACACUUAAAAACGGAAAAACAUUUAAAGCCAUUAAAAGAGAGCAAAAUAAAAUUGAAAUACAAUUAUUAUAUGUCAAUGUUCAUAGAUAAAAUCUCAAGGCAAAACGAAAAAUGAAAAAAUUCGACAGUUGAUAUUAGAUUAGAUUUUGAAUCCGAUGAAAAUUUUCCGACCAACACUACAGCAUAUUGUUUGAUUGUAUACGAUAAAAUAUUUGAAUACAUCCCUAUGACAAACGA